This 500-nucleotide ribosomal RNA is filed under the name uncultured Glomeromycotina. Its description in RNAcentral is "partial small subunit ribosomal RNA". It matches the Rfam family "Eukaryotic small subunit ribosomal RNA", at positions 591 to 1092 of the family's 1831-position model. Lineage: Eukaryota; Fungi; Glomeromycota. The record is from RNAcentral.
CCAAUAGCGUAUAUUAAAGUUGUUGCAGUUAAAAAGCUCGUAGUUGAACUUCAGGCCUGUCCAGAUGGUCCGCCUUAAUUGGUGUGUACUGUCCUUGGGUGGGUCCUACCUUCUGGCGAAGCGGCAUGGCCUUAAUUGGUUGUGUUGGGGAACCAGGACUUUUACUGUGAAAAAAUUAGAGUGUUCAAAGCAGGCAAAUAUGCUCGAAUACAUUAGCAUGGAAUAAUGGAAUAGGACGAUGGUUCUAUUUUGUUGGUUCUAGGACCGUUGUAAUGAUUAAUAGGGAUAGUUGGGGGCAUUAGUAUUCAAUUGUCAGAGGUGAAAUUCUUGGAUUUAUUGAAGACUAACUACUGCGAAAGCAUUUGCCAAGGAUGUUUUCAUUAAUCAAGAACGAAAGUUAGGGGAUCGAAGACGAUCAGAUACCGUCGUAGUCUUAACCAUAAACUAUGCCGACUAGGAAUCGGGCGAUGUUGACAAAAUGACUCGCUCGGCACCUCAUG